Molecule: long non-coding RNA, 215 nt
Filed under: Elaeis guineensis (African oil palm)
Lineage: Eukaryota; Viridiplantae; Streptophyta; Magnoliopsida; Arecales; Arecaceae
Description: long non-coding RNA (EGUI_LNC052768)
Source: RNAcentral
GAGACAAAUCUAUUUAGGACCGCCACUCGAUCAGUGAGGUGCUGAACUUCCUUUAUACUUCUUGAUAUUUCUAAUACAGUCUGGAUCUUCUCUGGGUUUGCUUUUAUUCUUCGACCAGACACCAUGAAGCCCAAGAAUUUUCUCGAUAUCACUCUAAAGGCACACUUGGUAGGGUUUAGCUUCAUUCUAUACUUUCUUAAUGUUGUGAAGGUCUC